RNAcentral lists this ribosomal RNA (479 nucleotides) under uncultured bacterium. RNAcentral describes it as "partial 16S ribosomal RNA". It matches the Rfam family "Bacterial small subunit ribosomal RNA", at positions 28 to 507 of the family's 1533-position model. The record is from RNAcentral.
GAUGAACGCUAGCGGGAGGCCUAACACAUGCAAGCCGAGCGGUAUUUGUUCUUCGGAACAGAGAGAGCGGCGCACGGGUGCGGAACACGUGUGCAACCUGCCUUUAUCUGGGGGAUAGCCUUUCGAAAGGAAGAUUAAUACCCCAUAAUAUAUUGAGUGGCAUCAUUUGAUAUUGAAAACUCCGGUGGAUAGAGAUGGGCACGCGCAAGAUUAGAUAGUUGGUGAGGUAACGGCUCACCAAGUCAAUGAUCUUUAGGGGGCCUGAGAGGGUGAUCCCCCACACUGGUACUGAGACACGGACCAGACUCCUACGGGAGGCAGCAGUGAGGUAUAUUGGACAAUGGGUUAGCGCCUGAUCCAGCCAUCCCGCGUGAAGGACGACGGCCCUAUGGGUUGUAAACUUCUUUUGUAUAGGGAUAAACCUACUCUCGUGAGAGUAGCUGAAGGUACUAUACGAAUAAGCACCGGCUAACUCCGUG